RNAcentral lists this ribosomal RNA (303 nucleotides) under uncultured bacterium. RNAcentral's name for it is "bacterial SSU rRNA". It matches the Rfam family "Bacterial small subunit ribosomal RNA", at positions 355 to 651 of the family's 1533-position model. The record is from RNAcentral.
UAGGGAAUUUUCGGCAAUGGGCGAAAGCCUGACCGAGCAAUGCCGCGUGAGUGAAGAAGGCCUUCGGGUUGUAAAGCUCUGUUGUAAAGGAAGAACGGAUGGCAUAGGGAAUGAUGCCAUUGUGACGGUACUUUACGAGGAAGUCACGGCUAACUACGUGCCAGCAGCCGCGGUAAUACGUAGGUGGCGAGCGUUAUCCGGAAUUAUUGGGCGUAAAGGGUGCGCAGGCGGCAAGAAAAGCUUAAGGUGAAAGCGUGGGGCUCAACCCCAUAAAGCCUUAGGAACUGGCUUGCUAGAGUGCAG